RNAcentral lists this ribosomal RNA (230 nucleotides) under uncultured microorganism. RNAcentral describes it as "partial 16S ribosomal RNA". It matches the Rfam family "Bacterial small subunit ribosomal RNA", at positions 524 to 753 of the family's 1533-position model. The record is from RNAcentral.
UACGGAGGGGGCUAGCGUUGUUCGGAAUUACUGGGCGUAAAGCGCGCGUAGGCGGCUUUGUAAGUUAGAGGUGAAAGCCCGGAGCUCAACUCCGGAACUGCCUUUAAGACUGCAUCGCUAGAACGAUGGAGAGGUAAGUGGAAUUCCGAGUGUAGAGGUGAAAUUCGUAGAUAUUCGGAAGAACACCAGUGGCGAAGGCGACUUACUGGACAUCUGUUGACGCUGAGGUG